RNAcentral lists this RNase P RNA (319 nucleotides) under chicken gut metagenome. RNAcentral describes it as "Bacterial RNase P class A". It matches the Rfam family "Bacterial RNase P class A". From Rfam's summary of the family: Ribonuclease P (RNase P) is a ubiquitous endoribonuclease, found in archaea, bacteria and eukarya as well as chloroplasts and mitochondria. The record is from RNAcentral.
AGUUAGCCAGACGGUCGCAUCGCAAGAUGAGGAAAGUCCGAGCAUCACAGGGCGAGGGUGCAGGUUAACUGCCUGCGGAGGCGACUCCAGGGAAAGUGCAACAGAGAUAUACCGCAUACCUUUGGUAUGUAAGGGUGGAAAGGUAAGGUAAGAGCUUACCAGCUUGUCGGCGACGACAAUGGCUAUGUAAACCCCAUCCGAUGCAAGAGAACAGGGACUUCGGGCGGCCCGUCCGUUCCUGUAAAUCGCUUGAGCGUUAUGGCAACUUAACGCCUAGACAGAUGACCGUUUAAUACAGAACUCGGCUUACAGACUAAUC